This 444-nucleotide ribosomal RNA is filed under the name uncultured bacterium. Its description in RNAcentral is "partial 16S ribosomal RNA". It matches the Rfam family "Bacterial small subunit ribosomal RNA", at positions 338 to 795 of the family's 1533-position model. The record is from RNAcentral.
ACUACGGGAGGCUGCAGUGGGGAAUAUUGCACAAUGGGCGAAAGCCUGAUGCAGCAACGCCGCGUGAAGGAAGAAGGGUUUCGGCUCGUAAACUUCUAUCAACAGGGACGAAAGAAAUGACGGUACCUGAAUAAGAAGCCCCGGCUAACUACGUGCCAGCAGCCGCGGUAAUACGUAGGGGGCAAGCGUUAUCCGGAAUUACUGGGUGUAAAGGGUGAGUAGGCGGCAUGGUAAGCCAGAUGGGAAAGCCUUGGGGUUAACCCGAGGAUGUGAUUUGGACCUAUCAAGCUAGAGUACAGGAGAGGAAAGCGGAAUUCCUAGUGUAGCGGUGAAAUGCGUAGAUAAUAGGAAGAACCCCAGUGGCGAAGGCGGCUUUCUGGACUGAAACUGACGCUGAGGCACGAAAGCGUGGGGAGCGAACAGGAUUAGAUACCCCUGGUAGUC